This 605-nucleotide ribosomal RNA is filed under the name uncultured bacterium. Its description in RNAcentral is "bacterial SSU rRNA". It matches the Rfam family "Bacterial small subunit ribosomal RNA", at positions 338 to 961 of the family's 1533-position model. The record is from RNAcentral.
CCUACGGGAGGCAGCAGUGGGGAAUCCUGCGCAAUGGGCGAAAGCCUGACGCAGCAACGCCGCGUGCGGGAAGAAGGCUUUCGGGCUGUAAACCGCUUUCAGCAGGAACGAAAAUGACGGUACCUGCAGAAGAAGGAGCGGCCAACUAUGUGCCAGCAGCCGCGGUGAUACAUAGGCUUCAAGCGUUGUCCGGAUUUAUUGGGCGUAAAGAGUUCGUAGGCGGUCGAGUAAGUCGGGUGUGAAAAUUCUGGGCUCAACCCAGAGACGCCACCCGAUACUGCUUGACUUGAGUUCGAUAGGGGAGUGGGGAAUUCCUAGUGUAGCGGUGAAAUGCGCAGAUAUUAGGAGGAACACCGGUGGCGAAGGCGCCACUCUGGAUCGAUACUGACGCUGAGGAACGAAAGCAUGGGUAGCAAACAGGAUUAGAUACCCUGGUAGUCCAUGCCGUAAACGGUGGGCACUAGGUGUGGGUUUCUAUUAACGAAAUCCGCGCCGUCGCUAACGCAUUAAGUCGCCCCGCUGGAGGUACGGUCGCGAGAACUAAACUACAAUAGAAGUAGACGGCGUGAGACGUACGACCGACGGACGACGACGAGGGAGGUAGG